This 237-nucleotide small RNA is filed under the name Drosophila willistoni. RNAcentral describes it as "GK27992". The record is from RNAcentral. Lineage: Eukaryota; Metazoa; Arthropoda; Insecta; Diptera; Drosophilidae.
ACCGGCUUUGAAGUGUCUGUGGCUAUAGAUUCCAUUGCAAAGGAUCCGGCGGAGACAGUUAAACUUGAAGGCAUAGGUAGCGACGACGAAGAAAUGUCCAUUGAAGUGCUUGAGUAUAAUGAAAACGACUAUUUCGAAGAUGGAGCUAAGACCCCCGAAGAAGUCGAGGUAUAUGAACAAGAAGAACAAGACGCGGAUACCCAACGUAAGAGAGACGCGCCAAGCCAGACAGCGGGC